This is a long non-coding RNA of Varanus komodoensis (Komodo dragon), 493 nucleotides long. RefSeq lists it as uncharacterized. The transcript is spliced from 3 exons. The record is from RefSeq and is a predicted model, not a curated record. NCBI's taxonomy places the organism in Eukaryota, Metazoa, Chordata, Lepidosauria, Squamata, Varanidae.
GGUUUUAUCUAAAGGCACCCUGUAUCUCUUCUGAGAAGUACAUUUGAUCCAGUUUCCUUUUAUCUUCAUCAUAACUGUCAGCAGUCAUCUGGAGGAGUCCUCAGAAUGUUAAACUGACCAUUUUUGCAACUGAACCUUAACUUACUUUCUGCUUACAUCUAUUUAUAACGGAAAUAUAAAUCUCCCUGUAAGUAUAAAAACACUUUUCAGAAGAAAUAGUCACCUGUCUCCUGAAUGAGGAGCUGCUGUAUCCCUCCUCCCAGACUGCCUGGAUUUCCUGAUCUGAAAAAGCCUUGUGGGAAAAAUUACCUCAUGACAUCUUCUUCUGGGCCUUCACUGAAGUACUUCUGGGCUUUCACUGAAAUCCAGGGAGACUGCAGGUGCCAGAAGUAUGACUGGACAAUGAAAAACAGGACCCACACACAAACUCUUCAACCACCUCAUAAGGUAAACACAAAACCCCUUAAGCAAUGCCAUGAGACUUUCUCCAAAA